This 1263-nucleotide long non-coding RNA is filed under the name Medicago truncatula (barrel medic). Its description in RNAcentral is "long non-coding RNA (MTRU_LNC003914)". The record is from RNAcentral. Lineage: Eukaryota; Viridiplantae; Streptophyta; Magnoliopsida; Fabales; Fabaceae.
ACUAUUAUUAGUAUGUGUACAUGACUAAUUAAAAAAGAGUAUACACAAAAGAGUUAGGCAAGCAAACCAAACUAGAGACCACGGGGAACACUCUUACUUGUAAAGCACAAUAAAAAUCACUUCAAAAAAUCAAUGAUAUUAAAUACAAUGUUGUUUAGUCACAAAUAAAAUUCAAGUACGUGUACACCUUCUCGAAAUUGCAGCAAUACAAAAGUGAUUAUCACAUCAAAGGUAGAGAGAAUAUUAUAGGCAGUGCUGUUCCCUACAAAGAAGCCACGUACCCCUUCUUUCCAGCAAAUGCUUAACACCUUCUUCAUUUUCAUUGGUUAUACCCUUCAAUUGUGGGACCAAUCACAAUGCCCUAAAUCCAGAUACGCCACUUUCCCUAUGGGACCUAUACCAACCGAAUUGAAAUAUUUUUGACCAAUCACAUUUUAAACUUAACUUUUCAGGAUGCACUAAACCAUUAUAUCUAACACGUGUCCUUUGUAAUCUUGUCAAUCACUCUCAACCUCUAUUUUUAAACAUCACAAGCACUCAAGACUCUUAUUAUUUUUCUUGAGAAAAUUUCAAUCCUAGCCUUUUUAAAUUUUGUUAUGUAUGUCUAAAAUGAUUGUGUUUAAUAAAAUUAUAUAAAUCCCCUAAAAAAAAAAAAUAUAAAUACAUUGUUAUAAAAAAAUCUACAUAGUACAUAUAUCUAAUAAUAUCACACAUGGAGUAGACAUAGAUAUUAUUAUUUUAGUGGUACUCACAUAAAUAUCAAUAGAGUUUAAUAUAAAAGUAUUGAUAUAUUUUAUUAGCUAUGUAUUGAUUUCUUUUUUGUUGAAUAUUGACUUUGUAUUGAUGGUGUGAAAGAAAUGUACAAAAUUAUAAAAUUAUAUCUCAUCGUGUAAAAUACUUUUUAUUUUGUUACACUGUCAUAGUAAUUAGAGUAUUUGGCUAGACAUAAAGAUUUAAACUUUGACUCUCUUUGAGCCAACUUUGGUACUAAUCCUCAUUCUAAAGCAUUAUAGCCACUAUCAAAUUCCUUACAAUUUCACAUAGCUAUUUGAAUUGAUGAACUAAGACACAUCAAAAGAGUUAAAAAGAAGUAUAUUAAAAUUUAAAAUUUUAUUGUAAACUAGCAUGAACUACUUAUUAACAUUUACCCAUAGAUUAGAUCAAACAUAUUAACAAAAAACUAAUAUGAUAUUAGCCCAUUUGGAUUUACUGAUUUUUAAAAUAGUUUACGAAAAUACAAUUCAUAAAAAUACGAUUUUUGUU